GUUUCGAUGGCCCAGUGGUAGAGCGUGAGAUUGCAAUAUUCUAUCAAAAUUUGCUAUAUAUCUCAAGGUCCCGGGUUCGAUCCCCGGUCGGAACU
Molecule: non-coding RNA, 95 nt
Organism: Pseudohyphozyma bogoriensis
Lineage: Eukaryota; Fungi; Basidiomycota; Microbotryomycetes; Chrysozymaceae
Source: the annotation of a GenBank genome assembly